GAUGAACGCUGGCGGCGUGCCUAAUACAUGCAAGUCGAGCGAACAGACGAGGAGCUUGCUCCUCUGACGUUAGCGGCGGACGGGUGAGUAACACGUGGAUAACCUACCUAUAAGACUGGGAUAACUUCGGGAAACCGGAGCUAAUACCGGAUAAUAUAUUGAACCGCAUGGUUCAAUAGUGAAAGACGGUUUUGCUGUCACUUAUAGAUGGAUCCGCGCCGCAUUAGCUAGUAGGUAAGGUAACGGCUUACCAAGGCAACGAUGCGUAGCCGACCUGAGAGGGUGACCGGCCCACCUGGAACGAGACCCCGUCCCAACCUCCUACGGAGGGCAGCAGUGGGGAAUUUUCCGAAAGGGGGGAAACCCGAACGGAGCAACGCCGCGUGGGGAAUGAAGGUCUUCGGUUCGUAAAACCCUGUUUUUGGGGAAAAAAAAAUGUGUAAUUAACUAUGCCCGUUUUGACGGUCCCAAAUAAGAAAGCCCCGGCUAACUACGU
RNAcentral lists this ribosomal RNA (496 nucleotides) under uncultured bacterium. Its description in RNAcentral is "partial 16S ribosomal RNA". It matches the Rfam family "Bacterial small subunit ribosomal RNA", at positions 28 to 506 of the family's 1533-position model. The record is from RNAcentral.